This 484-nucleotide ribosomal RNA is filed under the name uncultured bacterium. Its description in RNAcentral is "partial 16S ribosomal RNA". It matches the Rfam family "Bacterial small subunit ribosomal RNA", at positions 28 to 523 of the family's 1533-position model. The record is from RNAcentral.
GAUGAACGCUGGCGGCGUGCUUAACACAUGCAAGUCGAACGAUGAAGCCGGAGCUUGCUCUGGUGGAUUAGUGGUGAACGGGUGAGUAACACGUGAGUAACCUGCCCUUGACUCUGGGAUAAGCGCUGGAAACGGCGUCUAAUACCGGAUACGAGCUUCCACCGCAUGGUGAGUUGCUGGAAAGAAUUUCGGUCAAGGAUGGACUCGCGGCCUAUAAGCUUGUUUGUGAGGUAACGGCUCACCAAGGCAACGACGGGUAGCCGGCCUGUGAGGUGGACUGGCCACGCUGGGACUGGGACACGGACCAGACUGCUACGGAAGGCAGCAGUGGGGAAUAUUGCACAAUGGGCGCAAGCAUGAUGCAGCAACGCCGCGUGAGGGACGAAGGUCUUCGGGUCGUAAACCUCUUUUAGCAGGGAAGAAGCGAAAGUGACGGUACCUGCAGAAAAAGCACCGGCUAACUACGUGCCAGCAGCCGCCGUAA